This 413-nucleotide ribosomal RNA is filed under the name uncultured bacterium. RNAcentral describes it as "bacterial SSU rRNA". It matches the Rfam family "Bacterial small subunit ribosomal RNA", at positions 917 to 1333 of the family's 1533-position model. The record is from RNAcentral.
GGGCCCGCACAAGCGGUGGAGCAUGUGGUUUAAUUCGAUGAUACGCGAGGAACCUUACCAGGGCUUAAAUGUACGUUGCAUUAGUUAGAGAUAGCUAUUUCUUCGGACUACGUACAAGGUGCUGCAUGGUUGUCGUCAGCUCGUGCCGUGAGGUGUCAGGUUAAGUCCUAUAACGAGCGCAACCCCUGUUGUUAGUUGCCAGCGAGUGAUGUCGGGAACUCUAACAAGACUGCCGGUGCAAACCGUGAGGAAGGUGGGGAUGACGUCAAAUCAUCACGGCCCUUACGUCCUGGGCUACACACGUGCUACAAUGGCCGGUACAGAGAGCAGCCACACCGUGAGGUGGAGCGAAUCUUCAAAGCCGGUCUCAGUUCGGAUCGGAGUCUGCAACUCGACUCCGUGAAGCUGGAAUC